Molecule: long non-coding RNA, 321 nt
Organism: Cariama cristata (Red-legged seriema)
Lineage: Eukaryota; Metazoa; Chordata; Aves; Cariamiformes; Cariamidae
Exons: 3
Source: RefSeq, a predicted model, not a curated record
GAUGAUCCAAGCAAUACAAGUAUUAAGGUUUCACCUUUUGGAAUUAGAAAAGGUUCAUGAAUUGUGCGAUAACUUCUGCCACCGGUACAUUAGUUGUUUGAAAGGAAAAAUGCCAAUAGACCUCGUUAUUGAUGAAAGGGAUGGCAGCUCCAAAUCAGACCACGAAGAACUCUCAGGAUCUUCCACAAAUUUAGCCGAUCAUAAUCCUUCAUCUUGGAGAGACCACGAUGAUGCAACCUCCACGCACUCGGCAGGCACACCAGGGCCCUCCAGUGGGGGCCAUGCUUCCCAGAGCGGAGACAACAGCAGCGAGCAAGGUAA